ACAUUCUUAGCUCAGUUGGAUAGAGCAACAGUUUUCUAAAUUGAUGGUCAUGGGUUCAAGUCCUAUAGGAUGUA
RNAcentral lists this transfer RNA (74 nucleotides) under Schizostauron trachyderma. Its description in RNAcentral is "tRNA-Arg". It matches the Rfam family "tRNA". From Rfam's summary of the family: Transfer RNA (tRNA) molecules are approximately 80 nucleotides in length. Their secondary structure includes four short double-helical elements and three loops (D, anti-codon, and T loops). The record is from RNAcentral. Lineage: Eukaryota; Bacillariophyta; Bacillariophyceae; Naviculales; Stauroneidaceae.